This 237-nucleotide ribosomal RNA is filed under the name Idarnes sp. D2660. RNAcentral's name for it is "partial 28S ribosomal RNA". It matches the Rfam family "Eukaryotic large subunit ribosomal RNA", at positions 967 to 1163 of the family's 3401-position model. Lineage: Eukaryota; Metazoa; Arthropoda; Insecta; Hymenoptera; Pteromalidae. The record is from RNAcentral.
UUUCCCUCAGGAUAGCUGGCACUCGCUCGAGCGAGUCUCAUCUGGUAAAGCGAAUGAUUAGAGGCCUUGGGGCCGAAACGACCUCAACCUAUUCUCAAACUUUAAAUGGGUGAGAUCUCUGGCUUGCUUGAACGUUGAAGCCACGAGAUGCGUCGUGCUCCGCUCCGGCGGGGUGCGGCGCAAUGGAUCAGAGUGCCAAGUGGGCCAAUUUUGGUAAGCAGAACUGGCGCUGUGGGA